Molecule: long non-coding RNA, 510 nt
Filed under: Mus pahari (shrew mouse)
Lineage: Eukaryota; Metazoa; Chordata; Mammalia; Rodentia; Muridae
Description: lncRNA (MGP_PahariEiJ_G0005727.1)
Source: RNAcentral
AGUGACUGCAAGGACAACGUUGCUCUCCCGCCUUCCGCGCUCACUGACACCUAAACCCUUAAAUGACCCCUACGUUAGGCAGCAACUGCUUCCUGCUUUAUCUGAAGUCCUAGAGCGACAACUUGAGUUCUCCAGGAUAAACAUCCACUUCAAAAGCAAAAAUAACAGAAAAAGAGAAUUUUAAACCCAAUGAUCUGCAAAAAAACAUAUACCCGACAUUCCCCAUCUGGAGUCUACUCGACAUUUCAGAGUGUGUGUGUACAAAUCUGGUUCCACUUUUCUUGUCCCAAACAUCCCCCAUUCACAGCCUUAAACACCCCAAUUAAUAACACACCAUUAUCACCAUCCAGGUUCCCCAGGGUUCACCCUAGUAUCUUCUUAAUUUCUUUCUCCUCUAUGCAACAAAGUUCGGUACAACCUUCUACCUCAAUUUUCAAAGUUCUAAUGAAUGUGUAUUCUGAUCUCUACCACCUUUCCUACCGUGAUCAUGGUCCAAAGCAUUACAACCCU